UUGCAGCCCCCAAGUGGUAGAUCUAGGCGACUUUAAACAAUUCUAGGAUCGCUAUUUAAGUCGGCCCACGCAUGUGGUGCCGGCGACACUUUCGAAUUGACGGGGAUACCCUAAAGCCUGUCGCACCAACUCUGUGUGGGAAACCGCUGGAGGGCCCGUGCUAACUACACGGGGUGGUAACAGAUGACACGGAUACCUCCACGCCUUUUUUGGUGUGGAUACCAUGGGCAAUCCGCAGCGAAGCCUCUAAGUUCGGCCGCCGGAUACGAGGAACGUUCACAGACUAAGUGGAAGUGGGUGGAGCGUUCGCCGCUCUGCUUAAGAUAUAGUCGGUCCCCUUAGGAAACUAAGGGGGUGAGUACACUGCUCGAAAUUUAAACUUGAGCGCGUCUCGGAUAGCGCCUUUUUUGGGGGGGGGGGGACCCCCCCAUUGCCUCGCGGUUCGACGGCUCUUAAAACGUUCCCGUAGGUGAACCUGCGGAAGGAUCAUUACAGAGAGUAAACGCGGAUCAAACCGCGAACUUCUAAACCUUUGACGAUUGACUCAUGUUGCCUCGGCGGGUUCUCCCCGCCAGAGGAUACGUCAAAACUCCUGUUUUAACGGUGUUGUCUGAGCUACAAGCAACGAAUCAAAACUUUUCAACAACGGAUCUCUUGGUUCUGGCAUCGAUGAACAACGCAACCGAAAUGCGAUAAGUAGUGUGAAUUGCAGAAUUCAGCUGAAUCAUCGAAUCUUUGAACGCACAUUGCGCCCCUUGGUAUCCCGAGGGGCAUGCCUGUUCGAGCGUCAUUUCACCACUUCAGGCCUGGCUUGGUGUUGGGCGGACGUCCCCUUUGGGGACGCCCCUCUCAAACGCUCUGCGGCGUGGCAACCGGUUUAAGCUAAGAGAUUCUUUCCGCUCCAAAGUCGGGGCCCCGGCCUUGCUGGGAGACCUACUCUCGCAGGGUGACCUCCCGAAUCAGGGCAG
This 968-nucleotide small RNA is filed under the name Cenococcum sp. SB23. Its description in RNAcentral is "eukaryotic LSU rRNA". The stretch from base 635 to 790 matches the Rfam family "5.8S ribosomal RNA". The record is from RNAcentral. Lineage: Eukaryota; Fungi; Ascomycota; Dothideomycetes; Gloniales; Gloniaceae.